CAGCCGCCGCGGUAACACGUAGGGUGCGAGCGUUAAUCGGAAUUACUGGGCGUAAAGCGUGCGCAGGCGGUUCGUUAAGACAGAUGUGAAAUCCCCGGGCUUAACCUGGGAACUGCAUUUGUGACUGGCGAGCUAGAGUAUGGCAGAGGGGGGUAGAAUUCCACGUGUAGCAGUGAAAUGCGUAGAGAUGUGGAGGAAUACCGAUGGCGAAGGCAGCCCCCUGGGCCAAUACUGACGCUCAUGCACGAAAGCGUGGGGAGCAAACAGGAUUAGAGACCCGGGUAGUCCCUGUCUCUUAUAC
Molecule: ribosomal RNA, 301 nt
Filed under: uncultured bacterium
Lineage: Bacteria
Description: partial 16S ribosomal RNA
Rfam family: Bacterial small subunit ribosomal RNA
Source: RNAcentral